AACGAACGCUGACGGCGUGCUUAACACAUGCAAGUCGAACGAGAAAAUCCUAGCUUGCUAGGGUGAGUAAAGUGGCGCACGGGUGAGUAACACGUGAGUAAUCUGCCCCUAAGUCAGGGAUAACUCCGCGAAAGCGGGGCUAAUACCCGAUAUGCUCACGACUACUACGGUAGACGUGAGAAAAGGUGGCCUCUGGCAUAAGCUAUCGCUUGGGGAUGAGCUCGCGGACCAUUAGCUAGUUGGUAGGGUAAUGGCCUACCAAGGCUACGAUGGUUAGCUGGCCUGAGAGGGUGGCCAGCCACACUGGAACUGAGAUACGGUCCAGACUCCUACGGAAGGCAGCAGUGGGGAAUCUUGCGCAAUGGGGGAAACCCUGACGCAGCAACGCCGUGUGAGUGACGAAGGCUUUCGGGUCGUAAAGCUCUGUCAGAUGGGAAGAAUUAGUUUGCUGAAAAUAUCGGCAAAUGAUGACGGUACCAUCAAGGGAAGCACCGGCUAACUCCGUG
Molecule: ribosomal RNA, 506 nt
Filed under: uncultured bacterium
Lineage: Bacteria
Description: bacterial SSU rRNA
Rfam family: Bacterial small subunit ribosomal RNA
Source: RNAcentral